RNAcentral lists this ribosomal RNA (536 nucleotides) under uncultured Acidobacteriota bacterium. RNAcentral's name for it is "bacterial SSU rRNA". It matches the Rfam family "Bacterial small subunit ribosomal RNA", at positions 13 to 529 of the family's 1533-position model. Lineage: Bacteria; Pseudomonadati; Acidobacteriota. The record is from RNAcentral.
UUGAUCCUGGCUCAGAAUCAACGCUGGCGGCGUGCCUAACACAUGCAAGUCGAACGCGGUUGCCCCGCAAGGGGUAACUGAGUGGCGAACGGGUGAGUAUCACGUGGGUGACCUACCCUCGAGUGGGGGAUAACAUCCCGAAAGGGGUGUUAAUACCGCAUGACAUCCUGUCUUUGAACAGAUGGACAUUAAAGCCGGGUAUCGUAAGACCUGGCGCUCGUGGAGGGGCCCGCGCCCGAUUAGCUAGUUUGUGAGGUAACGGCUCACCAAGGCUUCGAUCGGUAUCCGGCCUGAGAGGGUGGACGGACACACUGGGACUGAGACACGGCCCAGACUCCUACGGGAGGCAUCAGUGGGGAAUUGUUCGCAAUGGGCGAAAGCCUGACGACGCAACGCCGCUUGGAGGACGAAGAUCUUCGGGUCGUAAACUCCUUUCGAUCGGGACGAAUUAUCGGCGACCUAAUACGUCGCCGGAAUGACGGUACCGAGAGAAGAAGCCUCGGCUAACUCCGUGCCAGCAGCCGCGGUAAUAAGGU